AGGUUGAGAUGUAUUUGAUGCUAUGAACUGCCUGCAUGCAACUCUGUUAUGGAUCUGCCUGGCUUCUUUACCUGAAUCAGUUCUACUGCAGAUCACAGGGGGAGAAUCAUGCUUUAUUUUCAGGAAGGCCAUUACUGGAGAUCCCUGACUCCUGCCCAGCAUAUGAUGGAGGCCUGAGAAAAAAAUACACUAAGAGACAGAACUAAGAGAGAGACAGCAAGGUGCCAGGACAACCAAUGCCAGUGGAACCAUCAAAGGUGCUG
Molecule: long non-coding RNA, 263 nt
Organism: Heterocephalus glaber (naked mole-rat)
Lineage: Eukaryota; Metazoa; Chordata; Mammalia; Rodentia; Bathyergidae
Source: Ensembl